Molecule: ribosomal RNA, 231 nt
Filed under: uncultured Staphylococcus sp.
Lineage: Bacteria; Bacillati; Bacillota; Bacilli; Caryophanales; Staphylococcaceae
Description: partial 16S ribosomal RNA
Rfam family: Bacterial small subunit ribosomal RNA
Source: RNAcentral
AGUAACACGUGGAUAACCUACAUAUAAGACUGGGAUAACUUCGGGAAACCGGAGCUAAUACCGGAUAAUAUUUUGAACCGCAUGGUUCAAAAGUGAAAGACGGUCUUGCUGUCACUUAUAGAUGGAUCCGCGCUGCAUUAGCUAGUUGGUAAGGUAACGGCUUACCAAGGCAACGAUGCAUAGCCGACCUGAGAGGGUGAUCGGCCACACUGGAACUGAGACACGGUCCAG